UAGGGAAUCUUCCACAAUGGGCGCAAGCCUGAUGGAGCAACACCGCGUGAGUGAAGAAGGGUUUCGGCUCGUAAAGCUCUGUUGUUAAAGAAGAACACGUAUGAGAGUAACUGUUCAUACGUUGACGGUAUUUAACCAGAAAGUCACGGCUAACUACGUGCCAAC
RNAcentral lists this ribosomal RNA (165 nucleotides) under uncultured bacterium. Its description in RNAcentral is "partial 16S rRNA". It matches the Rfam family "Bacterial small subunit ribosomal RNA", at positions 355 to 512 of the family's 1533-position model. The record is from RNAcentral.